This 274-nucleotide ribosomal RNA is filed under the name uncultured bacterium. RNAcentral's name for it is "partial 16S ribosomal RNA". It matches the Rfam family "Bacterial small subunit ribosomal RNA", at positions 523 to 796 of the family's 1533-position model. The record is from RNAcentral.
AUACGGAGGGUGCAAGCGUUACUCGGAAUCACUGGGCGUAAAGCGCGCGCAGGCGGGCUGAUAAGUUGGAUGUGAAAGCCCACGGCUCAACCGUAGAACUGCAUCCAAAACUGUCAGUCUAGAGUCUGGGAGGGGAAGAUGGAAUUAGUUGUGUAGGGGUAAAAUCCGUAGAGAUAACUAGGAAUACCAAAAGCGAAGGCGAUCUUCUGGAACAGUACUGACGCUGAGGCGCGAAAGCGUGGGGAGCAAACAGGAUUAGAAACCCUUGUAGUCC